Molecule: ribosomal RNA, 498 nt
Filed under: uncultured Glomeromycotina
Lineage: Eukaryota; Fungi; Glomeromycota
Description: partial small subunit ribosomal RNA
Rfam family: Eukaryotic small subunit ribosomal RNA
Source: RNAcentral
CCAAUAGCGUAUAUUAAAGUUGUUGCAGUUAAAAAGCUCGUAGUUGAAUUUCGGGGUUCUUCCGUUGGUCAGGCUAACCAGUCUGUACUAGCGUGUAGAAUUCCUACCUUCUGGGGAACCAUCAUGUUAUUAAUUUAGCGUGGUGGGAAACCAGGACCUUUACCUUGAAAAAAUUAGAGUGUUCAAAGCAGGCUUACGUCUGAAUACAUUAGCAUGGAAUAAUAAAAUAGGACGGUGGUCCUGUUUUGUUGGUUUCUGAAUCACCGUAAUGAUUAAUAGGGAUAGUUGGGGGCAUUAGUAUUCAAUUGUCAGAGGUGAAAUUCUUGGAUUUAUUGAAGACUAACUUCUGCGAAAGCAUUUGCCAAGGAUGUUUUCAUUAAUCAAGAACGAAAGUUAGGGGAUCGAAGACGAUCAGAUACCGUCGUAGUCUUAACCAUAAACUAUGCCGACUAGGGAUCGGACGAUGUUAAAUUUUAUUGACUCGUUCGGCGCCUUACG